ACGGGAGGCAGCAGUGGGGGAUAUUGCACAAUGGGGGAAACCCUGAUGCAGCGACGCCGCGUGAGUGAAGAAGUAUUUCGGUAUGUAAAGCUCUAUCAGCAGGGAAGAAAAUGACGGUACCUGACUAAGAAGCUCCGGCUAAAUACGUGCCAGCAGCCGCGGUAAUACGUAUGGAGCAAGCGUUAUCCGGAUUUACUGGGCGUAAAGGGCGCGUAGGCGGCCCGUUAAGUCUGGAGUGAAAGUCCUGCUUUUAAGGUGGGAAUUGCUUUGGAUACUGAUGGGCUUGAGUGCAGGAGAGGUAAGUGGAAUUCCCAGUGUAGCGGUGAAAUGCGUAGAGAUUGGGAGGAACACCAGUGGCGAAGGCGACUUACUGGACUGUAACUGACGCUGAGGCGCGAAAGUGUGGGGAGCAAACAGGAUUAGAUACCCUGGUA
RNAcentral lists this ribosomal RNA (434 nucleotides) under uncultured Lachnospiraceae bacterium. Its description in RNAcentral is "partial 16S ribosomal RNA". It matches the Rfam family "Bacterial small subunit ribosomal RNA", at positions 341 to 792 of the family's 1533-position model. The record is from RNAcentral. Lineage: Bacteria; Bacillati; Bacillota; Clostridia; Lachnospirales; Lachnospiraceae.